RNAcentral lists this ribosomal RNA (371 nucleotides) under uncultured organism. RNAcentral describes it as "partial 16S ribosomal RNA". It matches the Rfam family "Bacterial small subunit ribosomal RNA", at positions 527 to 896 of the family's 1533-position model. The record is from RNAcentral.
GUAGGUGGCAAGCGUUGUCCGGAAUUAUUGGGCGUAAAGCGCGCGCAGGCGGUUUUUUAAGUCUGAUGUGAAAGCCCACGGCUCAACCGUGGAGGGUCAUUGGAAACUGGAGAACUUGAGUGCAGAAGAGGAGAACGGAAUUCCACGUGUAGCGGUGAAAUGCGUAGAGAUGUGGAGGAACACCAGUGGCGAAGGCGGCUCUCUGGUCUGUAACUGACGCUGAGGCGCGAAAGCGUGGGGAGCAAACAGGAUUAGAUACCCUGGUAGUCCACGCCGUAAACGAUGAGUGCUAAGUGUUAGAGGGUUUCCGCCCUUUAGUGCUGCAGCAAACGCAUUAAGCACUCCCGCCUGGGAGUACGGUCGCAAGACUG